UACGUAGGGUCCAAGCGAUAUCCGGAAUUACUGGGCGUAAAGCGUGUGUAGGUGGAUUAAUAAGUGUGAUGCGAAAUUCGACGGCUCAACCGUCUGAACUGUGUCGCAUACUGUUAGUCUAGAGGACGGCAGAGGCAAGUGGAAUUACGGGUGUAGCAGUGAAAUGCGUAGAGAUCCGUAGGAACACCAAUGGCGAAGGCAGCUUGCUGGGCCACCCCUGACACUGAGACACGAAAGCGUGGGGAGCGAACAGG
RNAcentral lists this ribosomal RNA (254 nucleotides) under uncultured bacterium. RNAcentral's name for it is "partial 16S ribosomal RNA". It matches the Rfam family "Bacterial small subunit ribosomal RNA", at positions 524 to 776 of the family's 1533-position model. The record is from RNAcentral.